CUCCAAAGGAAGUUCCGACAAAGGCUAACAAUUCUCGAAAUAAUUGUAGCCGGAAUGGGGAAGAUAGAAAGCCAAAAACAUUCAACACCUUGAAGCACGGCCCUAAUCAGUUCCAACUUGCCGGCAUAGGAUAAAGAUGCACAACUCCAAGCUCCAAUAUAACCCGCUAUUUUUUCAAGAAACGGUGCAUAAGAACUCACUUUGAGCUUCUCCGAUGCAAGAGGAAUACCCAAGUAACGAAAAGGCAUAGAUCCUUUCGAAAAAUUUGAGAUUUCCAUGAUAGUUUGAAGCUCAUACCCAAAAAUUCCAGCUGUGUAGAUGCUGGAUUUCAUAGUGUUGAUCUUUAGACCCGAUGCUAAACCAAAUUUGUCAAGGCAGUCGAUUAUAAUUUCAACGGACAUAGCAUCACCCCUUGCAAAAAGCAUCAAG
This 429-nucleotide long non-coding RNA is filed under the name Olea europaea subsp. europaea. Lineage: Eukaryota; Viridiplantae; Streptophyta; Magnoliopsida; Lamiales; Oleaceae. The record is from RNAcentral.